Molecule: long non-coding RNA, 2835 nt
Organism: Zalophus californianus (California sea lion)
Lineage: Eukaryota; Metazoa; Chordata; Mammalia; Carnivora; Otariidae
Exons: 4
Source: RefSeq, a predicted model, not a curated record
AGACGACAGGGAGGGGGGCGGAGGGAUCAGUGAGAUCGGGGGAGGGGCUAGAAGAGGAAAGAAGGAGGGAGAAGAGGAGGCCCUCUAGGCCUGCACCUGAAACAUUCCCAGGACGCCACCGACUCAUGCCUCCUGCUGCAGACGAGACAGAGGCCGAGUCGGGCGGCUGCCAGCUGAGUGCAGGGCACGGGAACGAGCACUGCCCCCCGCCCCAGUGGUAGCUGUUGCUGGGGCGCAGGGGGUUCUUGGGAGUGAGCACUGUGCCGUGAAGGGGGAGCGUGGGACAGGGCAGCUCGCCUGCUGCCAAGGGCUGGGAGGGCUGGAAGGGCUACCCCCCGACACAGACAACUGCACAGAGCUUCACAGCUGCACAGGGCCUCCCUCACCCACCUUUGCAACUCUGAGCAACUCGGAGUCUCCAAAUCCUCCCCGUUCGCACAACCCCUACCAUUUGGUUCUGGAGAGACCUCUGUUGCUAGGCCAGUGCCUGAUUCUCGGUCACCUCUCCUCUCCCUCUGGGUCUUUACUGAAAUUCCACCCUGUGCCCUGUUGGUGAGGCCUGCUCCGCCCCGUGCUCUACGCAAAUGCAGAGCAGACAAAAUUAAACUCGCCACCAGCAUUCCCGGCUCCCUUCUUCACUUUUAUCCACCCACUUGCCGCUGUCCGCAGGCAUGUUUUGAUUAUUCAGUUGUUGAUCUCUGUCUUCCCCUGCUAGAAUGUAAGCUCCACGAGAACCAGGCUGUUUGUAUGCUGUGUUCACUGUAUAUCCCUAGGCCUCAGUGCCAGGCGCGGAGUAUCCAAGGAGAAGCAUCGGCUCCAAAAAUAUGAAUCCAGACUGAUUACAUGGCCAUCACCCCAAAUAAUGGGACACUGGGCUCGUCAGAGCUGUGUGUACGGGUCCAAGAUAGCCCGGCCUUAAGCUUGGGUGUACCGCUGGCUGACAAUAGGACCCAUGUGACUCAUGUUCCCCAGCUCCAACUUUCUUCUCUGUAAAAUGAUGUGGAAGGUCUGUUCUAGCACCAAGAACCUCUGUCCCCAAAGCAUCUGCUGGAGAGUGGGGCUAAUUGUGAGGACAGAAAAACCACAGGCUUCUAAAACUAUCUGCGCCCUCGUUGCCGAGUUACAUCAGCACCUGAUCUAGAGGCACCAGGGCAGUGAGAAUGGGGGUGCUGCCAACAAGCUCACCUCGGCAAGGCAGAGAUCCCUGUCCCAGAGCAUCUGCCUUCAUCAGUAAAUGUACUUGGGCAGCUCUUUAAUAAAGGACAGGUCCUGGAUGCUCUCCCAAGAUGGACCCUGUCCUCGGGGCGGGGGGGCGGGGCGGGUAGCACGUUCACUCCUCUGGAAAUCCCCCAUCUGUGCCUGGGACUUGUGGAGUCUGGACCUCACCAGAGAGAACCACGGGGACAGAUUUCCGCAAGUGGAACUGCGUUCGCUCCCGUGACUUCCCAAGGAGCACCCCUCACCACCUUCCUUCCUCCCACUGUCCCCCCCCAUGUUCCCUCCCCCCCUGUUCCCUCCCCCCCAUAGAGUCUGCGCGUUCCUGCCUCCAACCCGGUGGUGGCCGAGCAGGUGAACGUCGCCUUAUCUGCCCACGUCUGAGGUGGAGACUUCCGGAACAGUCGCUCGGCUGGCCACACGAGCCACAGAGGCUGUGACGCAUGGUUCCCCGGCCCACGCACCCCGGCCGCGAACACGGGGGCAUGAGCUACCGCAGCUAAAUGUUCAAGUUCCCCGAGAUGUUGAAUGAUGACUCAAGCACAACAGCUUCAUAAAGCCCACUCUGCCUCAGUGGCCUCAUCUGCACCCUCGGAGGGGUGUCCGGUGCAGCGAACAAAGCCUGACCCAAAGUACAUACCAUGCAAGGGUUGUUGAAACAAGCAAAAUAAAAUACAAGAUUAGAACAAAGGAGAACGAGUGUGGUCCCACAGACCUAUCUGACUAUUUGUGACUUCAAGGUGGUCCCUGGUAAAACCCAACUUGUAGGUAAUAUUUGAAAGGAAUAGCAUUUCUCGAUUAAAAAUUUUAUAUGCCAGGGCGCCUGGGUGGCUCCGUUGGUUGGGCAACUGCCUUCGGCUCAGGUCAUGAUCCUGGAGUCCCGGGAUCGAGUCCCGCAUCAGGCUCCCUGCUCAGCAGGGAGUCUGCUUCUCCCUCUGACCGUCCCCCCUCUCAUGUGCUCUCUCUCUCUCUCAUUCUAAUAAAAAUCUUUAAAAAAAUUUUUUAUAUGCCAGAAAUUACAAAUUUCCUAACACUUUAUAAAAGUAGCUCAUUUCUAGAUUAUUGUCAGUUACGGUCUCGUAGAACAGCUUAGAAGACACGUUUUUAAUUUGGUCUGGGGACUAUAUUAAAGUUCUGCAUGUAGCACUCUUAAAAAUAUGAAGAACUCGUCAAGUCUUAUUUCAUGAGGCUCUAGUUUCUACCCCGACAGUUCCUAAUAUUCUGAAAGAUAGCUUCUUACUUUUCUGAGUUCUCUAGAGCAUUUAAUUGCAGCUCAGACUUUACAUGCAGCACAAAAUACCCUGAACUGUCCUUUAACACUGGUGUCGAGGGGGAUUUUAAGUUACUCGGGAGUGAGGUGGUGUCCUAUCCGCCUGUGCAUCCCUCCCGGUGCUGAGUUCGUGUGAGCUGCACACGGGAGGGACCCACACACACCUGGGAUGCACCGUGGCUGGCAGGCCGGGGGCACAGGCCCUGCUCUGCCACCUACUAGAUCUGCAACGCGCGUGCAAAGUUCUGGCUCUCAGUUUCCUCCUCUGCAAAGUGGGUAUGACAACAGCCCCCUUCUCGCAGGGUUGUCUUGAGGAGCAAGUGAAAUAAUGGACACACAGAAGCACUCCC